Molecule: unclassified non-coding RNA, 345 nt
Filed under: soil metagenome
Description: partial contains 5.8S ribosomal RNA, internal transcribed spacer 2, and large subunit ribosomal RNA
Rfam family: 5.8S ribosomal RNA (bases 1-120)
Source: RNAcentral
GAUGAAGAACGCAGCGAAAUGCGAUAAGUAAUGUGAAUUGCAGAAUUCAGUGAAUCAUCGAGUCUUUGAACGCACAUUGCGCCCCCUGGUAUUCCGGGGGGCAUGCCUGUCCGAGCGUCAUUGCUGCCCUCAAGCACGGCUUGUGUGUUGGGCCUCCGUCCUCCUCCCGGGGGACGGGCCCGAAAGGCAGCGGCGGCACCGCGUCCGGUCCUCGAGCGUAUGGGGCUUCGUCACCCGCUCUUGUAGGCCCGGCCGGCGCUUGCCGACACAUCAAUCUUUUUUCCAGGUUGACCUCGGAUCAGGUAGCGAUACCCGCUGAACUUAAGCAUAUCAAUAAGCGGAGGA